UUUUUUAGUUUCCUAUAAGUGUUCCUUGUUUGUCUACCAGUUUACAGCGAGUUAUACAGGGAGUCAGACUCCUUCAUUGUGACAGAAGUCUAUAAUACAAUAAUUGCUGUUGCAACACAUCGCCACAAAAAUUCACCUUUAAUUAAAUAUAAAAAAAGAAGAUGUGGUGUAAUUGCCAAUGAGAAAACUUUCCACAAGAGAGCAAAUGACCCAGAAAUUAACAACUGUAGGUCACCGUACGGCCUUCGACAGUGAUUAAAGCCGAUACCGCAUAGUCAGCCUUAAAAGGUCCCGAAAUGACAACUGUAAAACAAUUCAAACGAGAAAAUACCGGUCUAAUUUAUGUAAAAAAAAUAACGAAAGACAAAUAUAUAACACAUCAACAAACGAUAACCAUUGAAUUAUAUAGUCUCCUGACUUGGGACACAUACAGAAUGUGGCGGGGAUAAAGUUCAUCAACCAAGAACAGCAAACGCGAGGGAAUAAAUCAGUAAGUGGUACAAACGUAAAAUAAAAUCGUAUAUGUUACCAUUUUAACACCCUCAAAAUAAUUUAAGAAUAGAUAUAAAACAAAAUGUGGUAUGAGUGUCAAUUAGACAACUCUCCGUCAAAGUCACAAUUUUUAAAAGUAAACUAUUAUAGGUUAAAGAAAGGCCUUCAACAUGGAGCCUUGAAUCACACCGAGCAGCAAGAUAUAAAGGUCCCCAUAACUGACUAGUUGUCAUUCAAACAGGAAAAACCAAAUGUCUUAUCUAUAUAAAAACGAGAAACACAUAUCAACCACUGGGUACUUAAACAAACAACAACCACAUAGGACAGGUGCAAACAUGUACAUUUUUUAUUGAAAAAAAAACAGAUAAAACACAAAACCGGCAGGUGUAACACUGAAUAAGGUUCUCCAUUACGAAAAAAAAAAGACAAAGCAGUAAAAUAACUCUUGCAAAAACUUGUAUAAAAGAUCAGACGCAAAGACUGUGUAAUUCAAAACAGAUCUAGACAUAUAACAAACACAGAGCAAAACAGAGAUAUUUUAAGAAUUGUAAGUAAAACCAGAACAGGGGCAAUAAUAAACACAGCACGUGUGGGUAUUUAAGAUAUAAAAAGUAGCACCAUUAAUGCAUUUUGGCGUUUAAAGACAAUAUAAAGUCAUAACUAUGCAAAAGAAUAGUUUUGUUUCUUUUAAUAAAGCUUAGGCUUAAGCUUGGUACGAUUGCCAAUUAGACAAUUAUCUACUAUAGCCCAAAUGACAAAUGAGAAAAUUAUCCACCACUUAUUUGCGAAACGUUCUUUCCGUGGGAAGAUUUUCCUCAUUAUUCUUACCCAAAAGCGUUGUCUUAUAAAAUGGUGCCAGUAAUCAUCGAACCCUUUCCCGCUAGACUAUAAGGAGACAUACAACAAUCACCAGUAAAAUAAUUGACAAAAAAAAAUAAAAAAAAGAAUAUGGUUUAUGUGCACGCAGCAUGUAUCACUAAUACCUUUAUCGUUUACAUACGUUGCCAAACAAGUUUACGAACAAAAACUGAAAUAUAGUAACCAAAAAACAUGUACAGAGCAGCCAAACCCGUCUGAGAAGUUAAACAUAAUAGAGCUGAUAAUAAACUGACCAGUUUUGAACGUUUUUUCUCCGUUUUAAUUUUUCUGAAUGACAGUUUUGUAUGGCAGGCCGUUUUGCUAUUUAUUCUUACUUCAAGAUAUCUCAC
This 1700-nucleotide long non-coding RNA is filed under the name Mytilus galloprovincialis (Mediterranean mussel). Lineage: Eukaryota; Metazoa; Mollusca; Bivalvia; Mytilida; Mytilidae. The record is from RNAcentral.